RNAcentral lists this ribosomal RNA (700 nucleotides) under uncultured bacterium. RNAcentral's name for it is "bacterial SSU rRNA". It matches the Rfam family "Bacterial small subunit ribosomal RNA", at positions 94 to 828 of the family's 1533-position model. The record is from RNAcentral.
GGUGGCGGACGGGUGAGUAACGCGUAAGAAUCUAACUUCAGGACGGGGACAACAGUGGGAAACGACUGCUAAUACCCGAUGUGCCGCGAGGUGAAACCUAAUUGGCCUGAAGAAGAGCUUGCGUCUGAUUAGCUAGUUGGUGGGGUAAGAGCCUACCAAGGCGACGAUCAGUAGCUGGUCUGAGAGGAUGAGCAGCCACACUGGGACUGAGACACGGCCCAGACUCCUACGGGAGGCAGCAGUGGGGAAUUUUCCGCAAUGGGCGAAAGCCUGACGGAGCAACGCCGCGUGAGGGAGGAAGGUCUUUGGAUUGUAAACCUCUUUUCUCAAGGAAGAAGUUCUGACGGUACUUGAGGAAUCAGCCUCGGCUAACUCCGUGCCAGCAGCCGCGGUAAUACGGGGGAGGCAAGCGUUAUCCGGAAUUAUUGGGCGUAAAGCGUCCGCAGGUGGUCAGCCAAGUCUGCCGUCAAAUCAGGUUGCUUAACGACCUAAAGGCGGUGGAAACUGGCAGACUAGAGAGCAGUAGGGGUAGCAGGAAUUCCCAGUGUAGCGGUGAAAUGCGUAGAGAUUGGGAAGAACAUCGGUGGCGAAAGCGUGCUACUGGGCUGUAUCUGACACUCAGGGACGAAAGCUAGGGGAGCGAAAGGGAUUAGAUACCCCUGUAGUCCUAGCCGUAAACGAUGGAUACUAGGCGUGGCUU